Molecule: unclassified non-coding RNA, 376 nt
Filed under: soil metagenome
Description: partial contains 5.8S ribosomal RNA, internal transcribed spacer 2, and large subunit ribosomal RNA
Rfam family: 5.8S ribosomal RNA (bases 1-120)
Source: RNAcentral
GAUGAAGAACGCAGCGAAAUGCGAUAAGUAAUGUGAAUUGCAGAAUUCAGUGAAUCAUCGAAUCUUUGAACGCAUCUUGCGCUCCUUGGUAUUCUGAGGAGCAUGCCUGUUUGAGUGUCAUUAAAUUCUCAACUACACUGACUUUGAAUUGGUGUGGCUUGGAUUUGGGGGGAAAAUUGUUGUGGGCUUUUUGUAUAGUCUGCUCCCCUGAAAUUGAUUAGCGGUACCUUUGUGGAACUGUCUACAGGUGUGAUAAUUAUCUACAUCUUAGACAUCUGCUGGAAUGCUGCUUUCUAAACCUUACUUGUAUUGACAAUCUUGACCUCAGAUCAGGUAGGACUACCCGCUGAACUUAAGCAUAUCAAUAAGCGGAGGA